This 944-nucleotide ribosomal RNA is filed under the name uncultured marine bacterium. RNAcentral's name for it is "bacterial SSU rRNA". It matches the Rfam family "Bacterial small subunit ribosomal RNA", at positions 55 to 995 of the family's 1533-position model. The record is from RNAcentral.
AUGCAAGUCGUGCGAGAAAGUAUCUUCGGAUAUGAGUAUAGCGGCGGACGGGUGAGUAACGCGUAGGAAUCUACCUGGUAGAAGGGGAUAGCCCGAGGAAACUCGGAUUAAUACCGUAUACCUCCUUAGGGAGAAAGAGGGCCUCUCUUGAUGCUCUCGCUAUUAGAUGAGCCUGCGUAAGAUUAGCUUGUUGGUGAGGUAAUGGCUCACCAAGGCUACGAUCUUUAGCUGGUCUGAGAGGACGAUCAGCCACAUUGGGACUGAGACACGGCCCAGACUCCUACGGGAGGCAGCAGUGGGGAAUAUUGGACAAUGGGCGCAAGCCUGAUCCAGCCAUACCGCGUGUGUGAAGAAGGCCCUAGGGUUGUAAAGCACUUUAAGCAGGGAGAAAAAGCUAUAAGUUAAUACCUUAUAGCCCUGAUGUUACCUGCAGAAUAAGCACCGGCUAAUUCCGUGCCAGCAGCCGCGGUAAUACGGAAGGUGCAAGCGUUAAUCGGAAUUACUGGGCGUAAAGCGCGCGUAGGUGGUUUGUUAAGUUGGAUGUGAAAGCCCUGGGCUCAACCUAGGAACUGCAUCCAAAACUAACUCACUUGAGUACGAUAGAGGGAGGUAGAAUUCAUAGUGUAGCGGUGGAAUGCGUAGAUAUUAUGAAGAAUACCAGUGGCGAAGGCGGCCUCCUGGAUCUGUACUGACACUGAGGUGCGAAAGCGUGGGUAGCGAACAGGAUUAGAUACCCUGGUAGUCCACGCCGUAAACGAUGACAACUAGCUGUUGGGAGACAAAGUCUUUCAGUGGCGCAGCUAACGUUUUAAGUUGUCCGCCUGGGGAGUACGGCCGCAAGGCUAAAACUCAAAUGAAUUGACGGGGACCCGCACAAGCGGUGGAGCAUGUGGUUUAAUUCGAUGCAACGCGAAAAACCUUACCUACUCUUGACAUACUUGGAG